UACGUAGGGAGCAAGCGUUGUCCGGAAUCAUUGGGCGUAAAGCGCGCGUAGGUGGUCAUGUAAGUCCGCUGUGAAAGUCAAAGGCUCAACCUUUGAAAGCCGGUGGAUACUGCAUGACUAGAGUACGGAAGAGGCGAGUGGAAUUCCUGGUGUAGCGGUGGAAUGCGCAGAGUAUCAGGAGGAACACCGGUGGCGAAGGCGGUCUCUGGGCAUUACCUGACGCUGAGGAGCGAAAGCCGUGGGGAGCAAACAGG
RNAcentral lists this ribosomal RNA (254 nucleotides) under uncultured bacterium. Its description in RNAcentral is "partial 16S ribosomal RNA". It matches the Rfam family "Bacterial small subunit ribosomal RNA", at positions 524 to 776 of the family's 1533-position model. The record is from RNAcentral.